CAAGAUGGGAAAAUCAUAUUGCAACCCACAGGCAUUUGGAAACAAUUUGUGCCGAAGACAGAAAGUACACCUAACGUUAAGCUGAAAAAACUGGACGCUCCCAGCAAACUCACUUUGCAGAUUCCUGGAUGUCAGAAGAAAAUGCCAGAGGAUUUCACUUGGCAUUGACCCCUUACUACUUCCAGCCACUUACCCUGGACAGUAGAAAGAAGGAACAGAAAGCAGGGUAGCUUAAGAGGAGUAAGUACCAAUGGCUGUGGGACUUCAAAUCACCACCUAAGAUUACUUCUUUGAUUUCUGAAAAAGUAGGUCAAAGGAAGACAUCAGGGCUUUGUUACAGGGUCAACUUCUCGGUGCAUGGCUCCUUCCAGUCUGAUAAGAACCAUCCCUCAGCCUUCAGACGAACAGGGCCUUGUUUUCACCGUCAACGCACAGAUCUGAGGGCGGCCUAGUGAGCACAUCCCCCUGCCUCCCCCCACCGCAGGAGUGUUUGUGUUGGAGGAGGGAGUGUUAAAUUCCAACCUCAGUACAACUCUUGAAGACUCUGCCAGUUCAGUGCUGGAGCAGAGGUACUGAAUGAGGAAGUGGAGUCUUGGGAUACCUUUGGAGGGAUCCACAGUUAAUGGACUGGCUGCUAUAAUUGGUCUGAGACACUGGUGCAAGCAUGGAGAUGACGACACAAAUACUAUCCAGAGGGAUGACCAGGUGAAGAAUGACCAGGUGAAGACACAAAAAGAAGACUCCCAUCUACAAGCCAAGGAGAGAGGCCUCAGAAGAAACCUGUCUGGAUGGAGGGAGAGGGAAACAAAGAACAAAAGUGGCUAAGAUGGCGUACUUCCGGGUUCUUCAUCACCAACUUUUCCCGCGCGCGCAAAAAUGUAGCCGGCACCCGGGAAGGUGCAGAUCAACUGGGCAUGCGCCAGGUGACGUCAAUCUGAAGAGACCGAGAUUUACCUGGCCACACCUAUGGAAUGCCCCCCAACAGGCCCGUGUCCCACCUAUUGCCCUCCCACUCCCAGAAAAGCCGCUCCCGGCAGGCGCGCCACGCAAACGUCCUUGGCCCCUACUCAUAGGCGGGCCCAGGAACCUCGCCCGAGAAUGCCGGAGCAACUUCCUCUGCCUCCGCCGCCGGAGACCGGUGAACCUCGCCUCCUCUUUCUA
Molecule: long non-coding RNA, 1161 nt
Organism: Rhinopithecus roxellana (golden snub-nosed monkey)
Lineage: Eukaryota; Metazoa; Chordata; Mammalia; Primates; Cercopithecidae
Exons: 5
Source: RefSeq, a predicted model, not a curated record